Long non-coding RNA from Myotis myotis, 854 nucleotides. RefSeq lists it as uncharacterized. The transcript is spliced from 3 exons. The record is from RefSeq and is a predicted model, not a curated record. Lineage: Eukaryota; Metazoa; Chordata; Mammalia; Chiroptera; Vespertilionidae.
UCUCUUAAGCAGUGUAGGUUUAAAUAUUUUUAUUUUUUUAAUAAUACAAAUAUUUUUGCCCGUUAAAAAAAUAAACUAUUUAGAUUUACAGAAAACUUGCAAAGAAAGUUUAUAGUUUCCAUACACGUUUCACCAGUUUCCCCUAUAUAACCAUGUUACAUUUAAUGUGGUAUAUUUGACAUGGUACAUCAUCACACCAAGAAAUCAACAUUGAUACAUUACUUAACUGUGAACUUUUUCCAGGUUUCCCCAGUGUUUCCACUAAUAUCUUAAAAAAAAUACUUUUUUAUUUUACAACAGUUUUAGAUUUAUAGAAUCAUUACGAAGAUAGAACAGAGAGUUACCCUGUGUACCAGUUUCUCCUUUAUUAACAUCUCAUGUGGAACAUUUUCACAAUUAAUGAAACUGUAUUGAGAAAGUAUCAUUAACUAAAGUUCAUUCUUUAUUCAGGCCUAGAAUCAGAAAUUUCUCCAAAGAGUCCUGUUCCUUUCGUUGGAUAAUGGUAUUUAGAAACAAGAUCUGAACACUGGAUGUGCUUGUUGCUACUGGAUUGUAACUGUUGCUAGUCUCCCUCAGUGGACAGAGCCGAUACAUACAAGUUGGAGAGUGAGGGAGGGAGAAUUUUUUUUUUCUGGAUACAAGUCAUUUUUUGGUAUGUAUGUUAGGAAUAUUUUCUUCCAGUCUGUGGCUUGCCUUUUUGUGUUUUUAAUGAUGUUUUUAAAAGAGCAAAAGUUUUAAGUUUGAUGAAACCCAGUGUAUGUAUGUAUGUAUGUAUUUAUUUAUUUAAUGUGCCCUGCCAGGUGGCUCAGUUGGUUGGAGCAUCAUACACCAAAAAGGUUGAGGGUUUGAUCCUG